AUUUUUCAUGAGGGCAAAAUAGGAAAUGCAAAUAAAAAAUAAAUAAAAUAAUGACAUAAAAUAAAUAAAGAGAGAUUAAAUAAAAAGGAGUUGGUUUGGUUACCAAAGCAAAGACCAGUCAAUAGUCAUACUAAUCUUCUCUUUGCUUCAUCACCUAGAGCAUAUCGACAAGCUCAAGACCAAAGCAAAUGAUCAGUCACAAUUAUCUUCUCUUUCCUUUCACCUCGCCUAAAAUGGACAAGCUCAAUAAAUCAGUCAUUUUCUCAAGUGACCAAGAUGUGUUUCCAUAUCUCUUUAACAGAAAUGGUGUUAAGAUUUAUGCAUCUCGUCGAUCUUUAUAAGCUUAAUCUUCCAAAACGCCCCAUAUUUUCUCUGAUUUCACCUUGUUAAAGCCUUCGCCGUUUACUUCUUCACGUCGUUCCUGGUGGAUCCAUUUCGGAGGUCAGUUUUUCUAUAUUCAGCUAGUUCGUCUUUUUUACUGUCUAUUCUUUUGCAAAAAAAAUAAAAUAAAAUUGGGACAGUCAUUAGAGAAUCUCUGUUUUGUAUUGAAAGAUAAAUAUAGCCCAGUAGUUUGAGAUUGAUGCUAGUAUUUUUCGAAAUGUAAAUGUAUAUGUAUAUGGGCUCGUGUGUAAUGUAGUUUUUGCUAAUCGCUAUUACUUAAUAUAGCACUAUUCUUUAUUGCUGUAAAUUCUUGUGUAAUGAUCGUGUUCCUCUCUGAUUGAGAUGAAAAUAGGAUAAGGGUGUAUAUAGUUAAGCAAUAAAGAUAAGUCAAAAGGCUUCGAAGAGUACAAAUACUAAAAUUAAAUUGUAAAGGUAAAUGAUAAACUUGACAUUGAGAAUCUCUUAGGAAUAAAUGAUAUAUCCAUUAAACAGCAAAAGAAGUCGUGAUGAAAUUAAAUUUGUUCUUGCUGACAAUUUCAUAUGCUAAUUGCUUCUAUUUUCUUCCACAUCAAAACUCUUUUUCUUGGACUUCUCUAUAGCACUUGUAUUUUGAAGGGUUUGUAAGCUAAUACAAUUUUUUCCAUUCCACAUAUACUUCUCAACAUUUAUCACAACGCCGCCAACUUGAGCUCGUGCAGACCUAUGAGAUGAAUCAUCCUCCGUUGGCCUUCUUGGCUGUAAAAAAAAUAAAGAACGCAAAUGUAUUACCUAUCUCUAAAAGUACUAAAUCACCUAUAUUUAAAGUCCCAUACAUACAUUGAGUUUAGAAGGUUCAUUUAUAUGUCCAGUCCAAUAAGUGGACUCAAAAUUGAUUUGUUUACUUGGGUGGGAUGGACUUGUCGCAUUUUGAUACCAAUCUUGAGUUGUUUGAGUAGUUUGAGGUAGAGUUGUUGAAUUUGGGGAAUUACUACUCUUCUUGCAAGUUGUUUUGUUGUGACCAGUUUGUAAGCACUUGCUACACCUCCCCAACUUCCCUUUCUUACUCAAUUUGGUAGCAUCAUGCAUUUCACUUGUUGCAACUUGUUUUUUCUUUUUCUCUCUUCUCUGUUUUUUCAUCUCAACUGCUUUUCUCUUGGAGGCUUCAAUUUCAUCGGGCUCUUUUCUUCUAUUUUUGUUCAACUUACUUUUCUUUGGCUCAUAAUUAGGAGGGUUAACGUCAGGUAGAUCAGUAGGUUCCCACAUGUCAGGUCCAUCCAUUGGAGCAAUGACUGGCUCAUAAAUCCUCAUUUGAGUAGUCUUCUUGUAACAAUCAUGUAUAAAAUUUUCUGGAUUCUCUCUUAUAUGGAAUAUGCAGCUCAUUGCAUGUAAGCAUGGGAUUCCUGUAAGGUCCCAUCCUCUGCAUGAACAGGUUCUUCCACUCAAGUCUACACUAAAUUGUUCACCAUACAUGGUCUUUACUUGAAAUAAAAAUUUUCCAGCCCAAGUAGGAAUUGAUGUAGCUGAGUCUUCCUUCACUUUUUCUAUUAGUUUUCGGAUUCGAGGGCAUAAAUUUCCUGUUAUAGUAAAAUAUUGUUAGGAUCAUGUUAAAUAUUUUGUGCUUCAGAGAAGUUACAAUAACAAUAUUACCUUGGUAUUUGAGCAGGUCUUCCCUCUUUUGGUUCAGUUUCUUCAUCAGGUAUAUUCUAAUUCCUUCAAGUAGUCCAAGUAUAAGUUUCUCCCUUGCCCUUAAAAUGGGUUUUGUCCCAUUGAAUGCAUCACAAAUAUUAUUCAAAAGCAUGUCACACUUUGUUGUUGUUCUAAAAUGUGACUUGCUCCAGAAUUUGGGUGGUUUAUCGUUAAACCAAUUUCUAGCUUCUUUGUCCUCCUUUUCUAGCAUAUACAUCUCAUAUCUGUACUUACUUACAUAAGUUGCCCUUGCAGCUUUCCAAACUCUUGUCUUCAACGAUAAACCUUUUGGGCCAACGAUAAAAAAAAAGACAUAUUAUUUGUAUUUCUUAUUUUGCCCUCAUGAAAAAUUUAUAUAAAUGGUGAUUUUAUUGUUUUGCAAGGGAAUAAAGAGGUUAGGGUUGAAAUUGUAAAAAAACAUAGGACAGGGUGCAAAUCACAAAAAAGAAUACACAUUAGGGGUGCAAAAUGCGACGGACUCGAUUUUUACUGCUACUUCCUCACUUUUUUGAUUUUAUAUCUGUACUCAGUCCUGCUAUAGUCUACUGUUUUCAUAAUUCAGUCAUGCUUACUCUAUUUUAACACUUUAAAUGAUAUUUUGGGCUGAGCAUCAUAUUUUUACUGUGCCCGAGUGGCUUUUAGAGAUUUUUGACUGAGUAGGGAUGAGGGCCUGUGUUGUGAGGAUUAUUAUGGGAUCGGGCUGCACGCCGCAGCAGGGUUGUACUAAUUAUGAUUAUGAGGUCGAGGGCCUGAGUUGUACGCGAUAAGGUAGCUUGAUAUGAGGCCGAGAGCCUAUUUGAUUAUGCCACGAGAUGGCUUGAUAUUGCGCUUGGGCCAUAAAGGGCCCCUCUCGUAGUCUGUAUACCCCAGUGAGUGCGGGUACCUAGUAAGAUAUGUGAUAUAGCCCGAGGGGCUGUGGUUGUUCCAUGUUAUUGGCCGAGGGGCUGAUUUCUGUUGGUAUUGUGCCCGAGGGGCUGAGUUUUAUGUGUUUAUCUUUUCUCGCUACUUUUUAUUUACUUACUUAACUGUUAUAAAGGUGUUUUAAAGAAGCUUAUACUGAACUAAGGUGUUUUUAUAAGAUUUCACUAUUUUAUUGCAUUGUAUUGGUUUUACACUACCUCUUUAUAUCAUGUUGUUCUGCUUUACGUGAUUUAUUAUCACUCAGUCUUCAUUUAUUUUUAUUACUCACUGAGUUUGAGUACUCACUUUACUCCCUGUACCCUAUGUGCAGAUUCAGGAGCUUCGGGUCCCGCCAAUGAAGGUUGAUUGCUCCCAGCAGGCAAUUUGGAGUCCACUAGGUAGUUGCUUGGCAUUCGUAGCCCAGUGUUUCUCUCUACUAUUUUACUUCCAUUGUUCUAGUUCUGUAAUAGAUUGUAUAAACUCUUUCAUACUCUUAAACUUAUGUUAGAUGCUCAUGAUUAGUGACACCCGAUGUAAAGUUGUGUUGGUUUCCGCAAAUUGUACUAGUUCACUUUUAUUUUGGAAUUAUUAGCAUAUUAAUGACUUAAAUUGUGUUA
RNAcentral lists this long non-coding RNA (3563 nucleotides) under Nicotiana tabacum (common tobacco). RNAcentral's name for it is "long non-coding RNA (NTAB_LNC000550)". The record is from RNAcentral. Lineage: Eukaryota; Viridiplantae; Streptophyta; Magnoliopsida; Solanales; Solanaceae.